Molecule: small nucleolar RNA, 131 nt
Organism: Otolemur garnettii (small-eared galago)
Lineage: Eukaryota; Metazoa; Chordata; Mammalia; Primates; Galagidae
Source: Ensembl
GACCUCCUGGUCUUACCACAGGCUGUGUUCUUACACUGACUGUAUAAAAAGAGGAGGCAAAGUAAACCUGCCCUAUGUACACCCCAGCCCAGGCCCCAUGCCUGGUCUGUAUUAUGAAUGGGGGAAUAUGG